This 711-nucleotide long non-coding RNA is filed under the name Oryza sativa Indica Group (long-grained rice). RNAcentral describes it as "lncRNA OsLaMu_04g0007190". The record is from RNAcentral. Lineage: Eukaryota; Viridiplantae; Streptophyta; Magnoliopsida; Poales; Poaceae.
AAUGUCCAAGACAUACCAAGUGACAGCGAGAUAACAUCAUCAGAACAACGCGUCGACAGCACAACACAUGCCACUUCACACAAGAAACCAAACCCACCAACUCCAACGCCCGUCAUUGCCAAGUCACUUUCAGGAUCAACACGAAGAUUGCGUAAAUCAACAAUUAAAUCAAAUUCUGAUUUCGUCUAUAAUUUAGGGGCUACAAAGAAGAAACCAAAGAAUGCGCAAGCAAAGAAUUUAAUAUCCAAUGAUUUAACUUCGAUGGCAGAGUUCAAGUGCACCGCAGAAGCUGAGGAAACCAUUAAAAGUAUAAUGAGUGCACCAGAAUCACAACUAGUGGUGCAUAUCGAUGAUGUCUCAAUUUCCCAAAAAACAAUGCAAAUUCUGACUAAUCCAGUGACUGAAUCAAGUACGAGCUAUUUGGAUGAUCACAUAAUCGAUGCAUACGUUACUUGUCUACGUGAGAAAGAUAUGAAGGAAGGUACAGGGACUAGGGCAGAAGGUACGGUGUUCCUAGAGAAACCGUUAAUAACAAAGUUGCUACAAAGAGAUGGCGAACACUAUGUUUCCAAAGACAUCAUCGAUCAGGCAAUGGCUAAAGCAAUGGCAAAUAGAUAUCUAAAGCAUGAUAUGGAAGAUAUAAAAUAUUUUAGAAGGAAGUUAGCUGCAAUUUUGGGGGGCGCUCAGAAGAAGGAUAAAAAGAGAAACUAA